Long non-coding RNA from Strigops habroptila (Kakapo), 1134 nucleotides. RefSeq lists it as uncharacterized. NCBI's taxonomy places the organism in Eukaryota, Metazoa, Chordata, Aves, Psittaciformes, Psittacidae. The transcript has 3 exons. The record is from RefSeq and is a predicted model, not a curated record.
UGUCAUGUAAUAGCCGUGAUGGAGAUGAAACUGCUGGGGAGUGCAAAAUUGACUCAUUUAUACAAGUUAUAACCUGACCAACAGCAUUCACAGCAGCCCUAUCAAACUGUGCUUUGUGCUGGGGCAGUCUUGAACUCAAUCACUGCAGACAGAUUUCACUCAUUAUCCAUUGCUCUCUUUCAGGUACUUUGGACAUGCCAUUUUAUUAAUUUAAACAGAAUGCAACAAUCCUUUUCAUACUGUUUUUUGAGCCUUUUUUAGAAAGAUGCAUCGCAUAAGACUUUUUGUUUGAUGGUGCACAUUGAGAAGGCAUCUUUGCUGGACUGUUCACAAAGAUCUUGCCAGAUCCUGGCAGCCAGCUGUCAGAGAAUGCCAACCAAGUGAAUAUUAGCUGGUAGUUGCAUCCUGCAUCCAGAAAAGGAUUUCGGAUUUGAAAGAGAAAAGAUGAGGCUGCUGCAUGUUACCUGAGAGCUGCCACAGUAGAGAUUAGUACUGCCAGGCUGCACAACACAUUUCUUAGCACCUCCGGAGUAUUAACCAGUUUCAACAGGAAGCUGAUGUGCACCAUACCCUGCUGAAAGAAUCACGUUCCUGGUUGUGAAAGAUCUCCAAGGAAAACCUAACGCUUCAACUGGGACAUAGCCAUAAGGAAAAGAAUUUGGAUUUGUGGAAUGCUAAAAUCUCUUUUCCUUGCCAAAUGGGAAUUUUUUACCAGACAUGUACUUCCAAGACAAAAAUAAAGUUGAGACUUUGCAUUGUGCAGAAUUCAUAAUGAGCUGUAGAAACACAUUCAAAAUCCUUUCGUGAUCAUUUGAUCAAAUUUCAAGCAGAAAAAUAUAUGCAAAGGGGGUAUCUCUUAAGUAACUGUCCUUGUUAUUGCUAGGUGGGGUUUCAUUCAGAAGAGGAUGCAUCUACUUGCUACCAUGAAAAAUUAAUAAACUGAUCUUUUACCUUGUAGCAAAAAGCAGUAAUUUAACAAUAAUCCAUCUACUUUUGAGAGUGUAGAGAAGUAGCACAUAGGAAGAAAGACCUUUGUUAUAAAUACUGACUUACGUAUAUCCAAAACAAAUAAGUAAAAAUAAAUACAGUCAAACUUGAGAGCCUGUAAGGAACACUGAAAUACAAAGCUAUUUU